AAAAUCCGAGCUAUAUUUUCUAAGGGCAUCUAUGAACUUAUAGCCGAAGCUUUUAGCUUAAGGGUCAAGGGAGAAAUCUUGUGGCCUUCCGUUUUGAAAAGGACA
RNAcentral lists this non-coding RNA (105 nucleotides) under pig gut metagenome. RNAcentral describes it as "Moco (molybdenum cofactor) riboswitch". It matches the Rfam family "Molybdenum/Tungsten riboswitch aptamer (Moco RNA motif)", at positions 14 to 118 of the family's 135-position model. The record is from RNAcentral.